Pteropus vampyrus (large flying fox) is the source of this 124-nucleotide ribosomal RNA. The record is from Ensembl. Lineage: Eukaryota; Metazoa; Chordata; Mammalia; Chiroptera; Pteropodidae.
ACCUACAGCCAUGCCACCCUGAACAUGCCCGAUCUCGUCUGAUCUUGGAAGCUAAGCAGGUCAGGUCUGGUUAGUACUUGGAUGGGAGACCAAGUACACCUAGGAAAACCAGAUACUGUAGUUG